UCAGACCCCUGGUGUUCCAGCCCAAGGCAGGCAGCACUCUGUGCUUGGGGCCUCGGGGCCGGUCCAGAAGGCUCCACAUAAAGGACUCAAAACGUCUUGUCCAGUUGCUAAAAGUUGUUCACAGGGAUGACUGGACCCUAUUAAGUAUUCUUUCAUCUGUAGUGAACAUUUCACCAAAAAAAACUCUUGAACAGGCUGGAGGGUCAGUACUACAUGUUAAAGCCCACGGCCUUGCCCUCCAUCUUCCACCUGACUGAGAAGGAGGAGCUGAAGGCCACUGCCGCCCCAGAAGAAAUGAGACCAAGAUAGCCGCCAGGGACAAGAGGAACAUGCCAGUGAAGCAGAUGGGAAAGGAGCUUCAGGUUCAUCCUCAUCCUCGAGGGAAAACCUGAGGGCCCAGGAAGGGUCCCGCAAAUUGAAGCGAGCCCUUCUGCAGGGCAAACCCGAACCCAAUGCCACCCAGGAAGCCACCAGUCAGGAGCGGGCAAAGAGUCUCUGGAAGGAACUCCAGGAGACAGUGUGGUCUCCACAGCGUGAGGCAGCCAGGGAGAUGCAAACAGGUCUGCUGUAGAUGCUGGCGAUGAGACCGCCUCUUCCCAGCCAGGGCCUGCUGGAUAAGAGUGGCAUUUCCGUGGGUGACUUUAUCCCUCAGGAUCUGAGGCAUGCAGAUUUAUUGGCUGGCAUCCUUCUUACAGUUUCUCCUCAGCACACACUCAAGAGAGGCCAUCUGUCCCUCGAGAGGCUGUUGACCGAAAGAGGCUGAAGAGAGAUGUGGAGCCCACCUACAGUGGGGCCAGCCUUGGGCCUGAUGAGAGCUUGGCCCAGAGCCCCCACGUUCAUCAUUCACAAUGAUGCCUCAGAAACUCUCCCAGAGCCCCUUCACCCUCCAACAGAUGUCACCCCGGAGCCAGCCGUGGAAGAUGUGCAGGAUGAACACAGCAACACCGGCCCCAGGUCCCUGAGCGGGGUCAUCCUGUCAGCGCUGGGGCCUAAGAACUCCUGGACUCGCUGCACUCCUACUGCUUCUGGUCCCGGGGGAACAGGAGCACGGGUGCCGCCUGCAGGAGCAGGUGGAGAAGGACAGCGAGCUGAAGAGGGGCAGCUGCCGACAGCCAGGUGCACACGCUGCAGGAGGAGCUGGACGAGCUGAAGGGAGGGGCUCCCUAACUGAGCAGCCUGCUGCCCCCAGCCGAGUUUGGUGGCAGCAGUGGGAUCCAAAGGAGACGCCUGAUGGCUUCGAGGAUGAGAAACAGUCAUUGGUACCAGCAAAACCUUUGAGUUCUCCAUCUUUUUCACUGUUUCUGAGGGCUGUGGGAGUUCGAGAUCCUGAAGAACUUCUUCUCGUCCUGCACUGUCAACUCUGCUCUGCAGAAAACCUUCACAAGCCACCUGAAGAACACACGGGGGAAGUUUCCCGGAAGCCAGGACCCUGCUGCUCCUUCUAUCUUCACCACAUCUCCAAGGGGCUGCAUCCUGCCUGCCCCAGGGAUGUGCGUGGCAGAGGAUUCCCAUGGCCCAGGUGGAAAAACAGGCUGCUCAUCCUCAGGAGGGGCCCUCCACGUUUGCUCCCCCAGAGAGCAACCCCCAGAGAGUGCAGGAGAAGCAGCAGCAGCGGCAGGGGAAUGGGAUCAACCUUGAGAAGAGUACUGAGGAGCAGCUGUGGCACUCCCUGCAGGGGAGAGGAAGGAGGUGGAAAUCAGAGACCUUCUGGGCAGAACAGUCCUUGGCUUCACCCGCUGUAUCUUACAUUGAGUGGAAGAGUUUGAUACCAGAGAAGUGGGAGACCCAUCCAAUUGGCGGCUACACCUUGUCCUGCCAGCCAGAGCGCUAGACCUAGUUGGCCUGCAGAGUACGCAAGGCCAAGAAGAACCGGCCAUCAUCAAGGUCAGGGGUGAGUGAGUGUCUGGGCCGGGGUGACUGACUCCUAGGGGUUCAGUAAGGCUUUGGGCUAAGCGUGGCCUUGGGGAGUCGGAUAGCUGGCACUGGGAUCCCAGCUCCACUAUUGACCAGUCCUGUGACUGGGGUGACUCUCUUCAGCUUCCUGAGACUCCGUUUCCCCCUCUGUGAA
Diceros bicornis minor is the source of this 2068-nucleotide RNA transcript. It is a transcript of the gene named ral guanine nucleotide dissociation stimulator-like 3, with no coding region annotated. NCBI's taxonomy places the organism in Eukaryota, Metazoa, Chordata, Mammalia, Perissodactyla, Rhinocerotidae. The transcript is spliced from 8 exons. The record is from RefSeq and is a predicted model, not a curated record.